UACGUAGGCAGCGAGCGUUGUUCGGAGUUACUGGGCGUAAAGGGUGUGUAGGCGGUUGUUUAAGUUUGGUGUGAAAUCUCCCGGCUCAACUGGGAGGGUGCGCCGAAUACUGAAUGACUAGAGUGCGGGAGAGGUGAGUGGAAUUCCUGGUGUAGCGGUGAAAUGCGUAGAUAUCAGGAGGAACACCGGUGGUGUAGACGGCUCACUGGACCGUAACUGACGCUGAGACACGAAAGCGUGGAUAGCAAACAGG
RNAcentral lists this ribosomal RNA (253 nucleotides) under uncultured bacterium. Its description in RNAcentral is "partial 16S ribosomal RNA". It matches the Rfam family "Bacterial small subunit ribosomal RNA", at positions 524 to 776 of the family's 1533-position model. The record is from RNAcentral.